Molecule: small nuclear RNA, 108 nt
Organism: Rhineura floridana
Lineage: Eukaryota; Metazoa; Chordata; Lepidosauria; Squamata; Rhineuridae
Source: RefSeq, a predicted model, not a curated record
UUUUCUACUCACCUUUGUGAUAUUUAUAUUAAAAUUAGAGUGAUACAGAUAUUAGCAUGGCCCCUGUGUAAGGAUGACACACCAAUUUGUGAAGUGUUCCAUUUUUAA